This is a long non-coding RNA of Lacerta agilis (Sand lizard), 376 nucleotides long. RefSeq lists it as uncharacterized. The record is from RefSeq and is a predicted model, not a curated record. The transcript is spliced from 2 exons. NCBI's taxonomy places the organism in Eukaryota, Metazoa, Chordata, Lepidosauria, Squamata, Lacertidae.
UUUUUCUUGGUACUGAAGAGGGUUUCAAUAUUACCAUUCCAAGAACACAGGAAGCAACAGAAGACUCACUGUCCACAUGAAUGUUGGGAGAGAAAGUUACGCUAUGAAGAUUCUUCCAAAGCAACCAGCUAAACUGUUCCUCUGACUUCUGGACCAGGUGGCCUUAGAUAUGCAUACCAAAAGACGUUAUUCUCAUUUGUAGAAAGAUAAACCCAUUGACCCUGAAAAUAGAUCUCUUACUUCUGGCCCACAUUCAUAAUCCAAUUAUUCUUGAUCAGCGAAAUGUAAGUCCAUAAUUAAUCUGCCACCUGAGAGGGUUUGUUAUUUUCUUUAAAUUGCCUAUUAAUUUAUUAAAUUGUCCCGAUUAAGUAAUGUA